Molecule: ribosomal RNA, 461 nt
Filed under: uncultured bacterium
Lineage: Bacteria
Description: bacterial SSU rRNA
Rfam family: Bacterial small subunit ribosomal RNA
Source: RNAcentral
AGAGUUUGAUCCUGGCUCAGGAUGAACGCUGGCGGCGUGCUUAACACAUGCAAGUCGAACGGACGCUUUGGGAAACUGAAGCGUGAGUGGCAAACGGGUGAGUAACGCGUGGGUGACCUGCCUCAGAGUGGGGAAUAACGGUCCGAAAGGAUCGCUAAUACCGCAUACGCUCGGUGAUUCGGUUCAUCGAGUAAAGCCGCGAGGCGCUUUGAGAGGGGCCCGCGUCCCAUCAGGUAGUUGGUGAGGUAAUGGCUCACCAAGCCGAUGACGGGUAGCUGGUCUGAGAGGACGAUCAGCCACAAUGGAACUGAGACACGGUCCAUACUCCUACGGGAGGCAGCAGUGAGGAAUAUUGGGCAAUGGGCGCAAGCCUGACCCAGCGACGCCGCGUGGGUGACGAAGGCCUUCGGGUCGUAAAACCCUUUUGUCAGGGACGAGUGAGGACGGUACCUGGCGAAUAA